GGAUUCGUGGUGCAAUGGUAGUGCGUUUGACUCUAAAUCAGAAGGUUGCGUGUUUGACUCACGUCGGGCUCA
This 72-nucleotide transfer RNA is filed under the name Ipomoea nil (Japanese morning glory). It matches the Rfam family "tRNA". Rfam says of the family: Transfer RNA (tRNA) molecules are approximately 80 nucleotides in length. Their secondary structure includes four short double-helical elements and three loops (D, anti-codon, and T loops). The record is from Rfam by way of RNAcentral. Lineage: Eukaryota; Viridiplantae; Streptophyta; Magnoliopsida; Solanales; Convolvulaceae.